This 376-nucleotide ribosomal RNA is filed under the name uncultured bacterium. RNAcentral describes it as "bacterial SSU rRNA". It matches the Rfam family "Bacterial small subunit ribosomal RNA", at positions 521 to 896 of the family's 1533-position model. The record is from RNAcentral.
UAAGACGAACCGUGCAAACGUUGUUCGGAAUCACUGGGCUUAAAGGGCGCGUAGGCGGGCUGUCAAGUCAGGGGUGAAAUCUUUCGGCUUAACCGGAAAACUGCCUCUGAUACUGACGGCCUUGAGGGAGGUAGGGGCAUGUGGAACUUCCGGUGGAGCGGUGAAAUGCGUUGAUAUCGGAAGGAACGCCGGUGGCGAAAGCGACGUGCUGGAUCUCUUCUGACGCUGAGGCGCGAAAGCUAGGGGAGCGAACGGGAUUAGAUACCCCGGUAGUCCUAGCCCUAAACGAUGGGUACUAGGUUGUGGACUUGACAUGGGUUCACAGCCGAAGCAAAAGUGGUAAGUACCCCGCCUGGGGAGUAUGGUCGCAAGGCUG